AGAUCAGGGUCUCCUUGAGGGGCCUCUGCCUCUGCCCAGGACUUUUUCAUGACCAGGAGGCUGAGGCCCCUCAUAGGCGGCCUCUUACUCU
This is a microRNA precursor of Nannospalax galili (Upper Galilee mountains blind mole rat), 91 nucleotides long. Ensembl annotates it as microRNA 665. The record is from Ensembl. Lineage: Eukaryota; Metazoa; Chordata; Mammalia; Rodentia; Spalacidae.